Molecule: long non-coding RNA, 1928 nt
Organism: Chenopodium quinoa (quinoa)
Lineage: Eukaryota; Viridiplantae; Streptophyta; Magnoliopsida; Caryophyllales; Amaranthaceae
Exons: 3
Source: RefSeq, a predicted model, not a curated record
GUUGACAAUGGAGGCUUGCUUUAACAGCGGAUGCUCGAUUAUUAAGUGGUGUGUGCACGGUUGACGGUGAUGGUGAAGCUUGAUUGUAUUGUUGACGGCUCGUGGGUGGCACAGUGUGCUCAUGGGUUGCGGUGUGUGCUCGUCACUACUACAAAAUUUGGAAAAAAAGACCCCUAAUUAAAGACCCGUUAUUUAACUAACAAGUCUAUUUGAUGUAAAAUACCCAAUUUUAAUUAUAAUUGGUCUCUUAUGUAUAUUAGGAAAAAAAAAGUAUAAAAUAAGAAACUCGUUGCCAAAUCUAACGGGUCUCUUCAUUAUAUUAGGUCCCACAUUUUUUAUAAGAGAAGAAAAUGUGAGAUCUGUUUAUAACUGACGGGUCUCUUACAUUAGCUCCUCGACUAUAAGUUCUCUGACCUUUGUAUGUGUUUGGUACUCCGCUUUUUUUUUUUUUUUUUUUUUAAUUAUCAUUAAAUCCCUUCAAACUCAUUCACCUCUCUCUCUCUCUACAAAACCUCCGCCCAACCUUAACCCCAAGUCCUCCUCUUGUUAUGAAACCACCGUCACUUCUUCUUCCCUUCUCCAUUUCAAAACAUAUCAACCAACAAUCGAUUCAAUAUCUCAACAAAAAUCAUUAAUCGCAUUCAAUUUUUCCAAACAUCGAACUUUAAUUCAAGGUCUACUUCAAUUUUUCAAAGACAGGAAGAAGCUUAACCUCCUAUGCUAAUAGAUCAGGAAAUUAUGAAGAAUGGUUGUCUAAUUGAUGUCCUAACUUGCAAUCAAAAUUGAGAGGAUGAACUGGACUUGCCCUCUAUACCUCGAGCAUCCCUUCGUACUUAACAGGAAUGAUUUAACGGAGCAGGUUUGCAUGAUUUCGUCCCACUAUAUUCUCAAACAAAGAAGAUAAUGGAGUAUUCAAGUCUAAUCUUAUUGCUAUAUUUAUAAUUGUUGGAAUGUUCUUUUUUUUUUUAAUUAUUUUUCUUUGUAGAAUGAGUUUUUUUUUGGUACCACUUUAGUAUGAAUUUAAUCCAUUGCUAAUUCUAAGGUCUUAAAUUGUAACUUACAAUUUAUGAAUUAUCUGGCAAUUUUAAUGUAGCAUAAAAACAAAAUUUUCAAAAUUCAAACAAAAACCUCCCAAACCACAUCAAAUAAAAAGAAAAAAUAAUUUUUUUUUUUAAAAAAAAGCUGGAGAACAAAGAGACCCGUUAUUUGACAUGAUAGGUCUGGUAGAUACCACUAAAAGACCCCAUAUCUCAAAUAACAAGUCUCUUUUCUAUCUAAAUUAUUAAUUUGAUCACUUAUAUAAUAGACUCGUUAUCACUUACAACAGGUUUCUUUGUUCUCACAAACAUACCCCCCUAUAGAACGGGUCUCUUUAUCAAACAGAACCCUGAGAUAGAGACCCGUUGUGAGGUGGUAGCUCUCAUGCAUAUUUUAAUGGGUCUCUUUGGAAAUUUUUGUAGUAGUGUGUGGAUGCUCGUGGAAACCGGAAAAAAAAAAAAUUCUCGGAGGCCGAUGAGACAUCGACGGAGGAUAUGAGUGGGAGAGAGGGGAUGUUCAACUCAGGCAUAUGAUUGGGAGAGAAAGGAAAGAAAGAAAGAAGAGAGGAGGACAGAGAGAUUUGAGAGGAAAAAAGAAUGAAGGAAAAGGAGAUCAGGAGGAUACAGAGAAAAGAGAGGAGAGAGAAAGAAGAGAGGGGAGGAGAAGAGAGAAUAUAGAUGAGAAUAGAGAGGGGUGGUGGUUGUAUGGUAUUUAGGGUUAGGGGAGUUAUGGGCUAUGGGUGGUUAGACUUCCUAUUUGUAACAAACAUUCUAUUGUCCGCUACAACUAAGAUGUAUUUGUAACCAACAUUCUGUUGUUUGUUACAACUAAGAUGUAUUUAUAACUGUAGGGAAUAUUUCAAGCGUUAAUCCCCAAGCUUAAACCCCACU